CAGGCCCCCCUGGCAAGGUUCCAUCACCGUCUGAAGGAACAAGUAGGUUCAUCCAAAUGAACCCUUGCUAUUAUCAAGUAGGUUCAUCCAAAUGAACUCUUGCUAUUAUCAAUGCGUAGCGCUUCUAAUGCAGACUAUUGAAGGUAUUCCAAAUGCAGUGGCAGUUCAGCUUGAUGCAAUGGAUUAUGGAAGCCUUUGUUAGUAUAUUGCAGAAGUGAAAGUUGUAAUCAGUCUGUUGCCACCCAGCCCCAGUUGUCAUACUCAUAUAGCGAAUGCAUGUAUAUUGAGGUACUCACUGCAUCACAUUUCUAUUCUAGUAUUGUUAGUCCUGCCCAUCCCUCCAUAAUAGAAACUGUGUGAUCCUUGACUAGAGGAUGUGUGUAAUAUCCUUGGGUCUGUACAAGUACAACUAAGGCCCAUGGAUCCAAACUGCUGAUCUGAUGGCCCCAUUGUGAAUUUGACCCAAGCAUCUCCUUGAUGGGACAAUCCGAUCUCUUUUGCUUGAACAUGAACGGACACCAUGGGGCCCAAUAGGCAGGAUAUUGUGGAAAGCUCUUUUGAAGGCAAUGUUGUUGUGCAUUUUGGGCUGAAAGGGACUCUCAGAUUUUUCAGGACCUUGUAAAGAUGGAAGUGGAUGUGUUUCAACUCAUCCAGGACUAUGCCAAAACAUGGAGCAUGCAAGUAAGAGAUGUUAACAGGUAUCCCUAAAUCUGUAUCUUCUAACUGGAAAGAAAUCAUUAGGUUUGGUGGACCCUGGGGAAGAGAGUAAAUGUUGGCAGGCCCCUCAGCUGGACCAGAGUAAAACAGACUCUACAGGUAAAUGCUUGUUAGUUAUGUACAUAAAAGGCCAUCACAUUGUGGAGCUCUUCAUCUGCUUGAUGGACUUCAUUGAAUUGAGUAUGUCUUUCUAUUUUGAAGUCUUUCAUUGCAGAUUUUGGUUUUUGCUGAGACUGAUCAGAGAUUAUUCAUUUCUUUGUUUAAUUGGGACUUCCAAUAUUGUGUUUAUAGGGGAAUUGUGGAUGGUGGCCUUGCACUACCAUCAGCAUCAGGACCGCAAACCCCUACCAGAUCCUCAAAAGUGUACCAGGUGGAUCUUGGACCAAGCUCUUCGAGAGAUUGCUCCUCUCAACAUGGAUUGUGGAACUGGUAGAAACUCAGAUGAUGAAACCUCUGUUAAUAAUGUUGACAUGGAUGGUUCUCAAGAAGUUACUACUGAUGCUGUCAACACUUGAGGCCUUGAUGUCGAAUUGAGAUAUACACAUGAGGUGUCCAUCUUAUUGGGAUCGCCUUAUCAUCCCUUCUGAUUUCUUAUACGUGUCCUUUUUAUCCACGUGCGAGGUGAGGUGCACUUUCAAAGGUGCACUCGAGGGAGUGUACUCUGCAUACCUCCAUUGAAAGGAGCCCUUGUCAGACGCGUUGGGUGAAAACAAAAUGAUUUGGCGAGAAA
Molecule: RNA transcript, 1447 nt
Organism: Magnolia sinica
Lineage: Eukaryota; Viridiplantae; Streptophyta; Magnoliopsida; Magnoliales; Magnoliaceae
Exons: 5
Source: RefSeq, a predicted model, not a curated record